CCGCGCCUGAUUAGCUAGUUGGUGGGGUAAUGGCUCACCAAGGCAACGAUCAGUAUCCGGCCUGAGAGGGCGGACGGACACACUGGGACUGAGACACGGCCCAGACUCCUACGGGAGGCAGCAGUGGGGAAUUGUUCGCAAUGGGCGCAAGCCUGACGACGCAACGCCGCGUGGAGGAUGAAGAUCUUCGGGUUGUAAACUCCUUUCGAUCGAGACGAAUGGCCCUUGGGCUAACAUCCUGAGGGAGUGACGGUACCGAGAGAAGAAGCCCCGGCUAACUCCGUGCCAGCAGCCGCGGUAAUACGGGGGGGGCAAGCGUUGUUCGGAAUUACUGGGCGUAAAGGGCUCGUAGGCGGCCAACUAAGUCAUACGUGAAAUCCCUCGGCUUAACCGGGGAACUGCGUCUGAUACUGGAUGGCUUGAGUUCGGGAGAGGGAUGCGGAAUUCCAGGUGUAGCGGUGAAAUGCGUAGAUAUCUGGAGGAACACCGGUGGCGAAGGCGGCAUCCUGGACCGAUACUGACGCUGAGGAGCGAAAGCCAGGGGAGCAAACGGGAUUAGAUACCCCGGUAGUCCUGGGCCCUAAACGAUGAAUGCUUGGUGUGGCGGGUAUCGAUCCCUGCCGUGGCCG
Molecule: ribosomal RNA, 629 nt
Filed under: uncultured Desulfitobacterium sp.
Lineage: Bacteria; Bacillati; Bacillota; Clostridia; Eubacteriales; Desulfitobacteriaceae
Description: bacterial SSU rRNA
Rfam family: Bacterial small subunit ribosomal RNA
Source: RNAcentral